Molecule: long non-coding RNA, 553 nt
Organism: Lycium barbarum (goji berry)
Lineage: Eukaryota; Viridiplantae; Streptophyta; Magnoliopsida; Solanales; Solanaceae
Exons: 3
Source: RefSeq, a predicted model, not a curated record
UAGAGAGAGGAAGUGAGAGAGAGGAGAGAUAGAGAGAGAAAGUAGAAAAUCAACCAAGUUUAAGGCCCCGAAUCCCGAAGCUUGUGAAGGAUAAAGUGUAGUACAAGUUGUCGCCGUCAUUCUAAGCUAAAAAUCGAACUUGGGGAUGUUGAUUUCGUGGUGACUACUCACAAAAGAUUAAAGUUGAAGGAAUUGAAGGACAUUGUGAUACGCUCAAGAGCAGGAAGUCAAGGUACUGACGUACAGGACAACGCACCUGCUCAGUAGGACAACUCUCAUAUCAGUUUUUGGGUAAGCCCCAUUCUCUUCGGGGUUUAGUCAGUUGUUUACCUUAUGUCAUUGAUGCAUUAAGGGUAUGCUGGGGGCCUUGUCCCAGCAAGUAUAUUUUAUGUUCAGACUCAUGUUAGAGGUUUCAUAGACUAGACAAGUCAGUUAUGUCAUGUUAGACAUUUGGAGUCGUAUAGCCAUUUUGGCUCACUCAUGUUUGAACAAGUACCUUAUUAUGUAUUAUGACUUAUUACGCUUUACAAAGGCUCGACAUGCAUUCACGUUA